AUACGUAGGUGGCGAGCGUUGUCCGGAAUCAUUGGGCGUAAAGAGCGCGUAGGCGGCUUGUCAGGUCUGAUGUGAAAUGCCGGGGCUCAACCCCGGACGUGCAUCAGAAACCGGCUUGCUAGAGUCUGGGAGAGGGAAGUGGAAUUCCUGGUGUAGCGGUGAAAUGCGCAGAUAUCAGGAGGAACACCGGUAGCGAAGGCUGCUUCCUGGAACAGUACUGACGCUGAGGCGCGAAAGCUAGGGGAGC
Molecule: ribosomal RNA, 247 nt
Filed under: uncultured bacterium
Lineage: Bacteria
Description: partial 16S ribosomal RNA
Rfam family: Bacterial small subunit ribosomal RNA
Source: RNAcentral